Molecule: ribosomal RNA, 1562 nt
Filed under: Xylaria ellisii
Lineage: Eukaryota; Fungi; Ascomycota; Sordariomycetes; Xylariales; Xylariaceae
Description: Xylaria sp. JBT-2019a partial large subunit ribosomal RNA
Rfam family: Eukaryotic large subunit ribosomal RNA
Source: RNAcentral
GGCGCGGUGCCUUCCGAGUUCCCUGGAACGGGACGCCUUAGAGGGUGAGAGCCCCGUACGGUUGGACACCAAGCCUCUGUAAAGCUCCUUCGACGAGUCGAGUAGUUUGGGAAUGCUGCUCUAAAUGGGAGGUAAAUUUCUUCUAAAGCUAAAUAUUGGCCAGAGACCGAUAGCGCACAAGUAGAGUGAUCGAAAGAUGAAAAGCACUUUGAAAAGAGGGUUAAAUAGCACGUGAAAUUGUUGAAAGGGAAGCGUUUGCGACCAGACCUUUUCCUAGCGGAUCAUCCGGUGUUCUCACCGGUGCACUUCGCUAAGUUUAGGCCAGCAUCGGUUUCUGUAGGGGGAUAAAAGCUCUGGGAACGUAGCUCCUCCGGGAGUGUUAUAGCCCUCUGCAUAAUACCUUUACGGGGACCGAGGACCGCGCUUCGGCAAGGAUGCUGGCGUAAUGGUCGUCAACGACCCGUCUUGAAACACGGACCAAGGAGUCGAACAUUUGUGCGAGUGUUUGGGUGUUAAACCCUCACGCGUAAUGAAAGUGAACGGAGGUGAGAGCCCUUACGGGUGCAUCAUCGACCGAUCCUGAUGUCUUCGGAUGGAUUUGAGUAAGAGCAUAACUGUUCGGACCCGAAAGAUGGUGAACUAUGCGUGGAUAGGGUGAAGCCAGAGGAAACUCUGGUGGAGGCUCGCAGCGGUUCUGACGUGCAAAUCGAUCGUCAAAUCUGCGCAUGGGGGCGAAAGACUUAUCGAACCAUCUAGUAGCUGGUUACCGCCGAAGUUUCCCUCAGGAUAGCAGUGUUGUUCUUCAGUUUUAUGAGGUAAAGCGAAUGAUUAGGGACUCGGGGGCGCUUUUUUGCCUUCAUCCAUUCUCAAACUUUAAAUAUGUAAGAAGCCCUUGUUACUUAAUUGAACGUGGGCAUUCGAAUGUACCAACACUAGUGGGCCAUUUUUGGUAAGCAGAACUGGCGAUGCGGGAUGAACCGAACGCGGGGUUAAGGUGCCGGAGUGGACGCUCAUCAGACACCACAAAAGGUGUUAGCACAUUUAGACAAUAGGACGGUGGCCAUGGAAGUCGGAAUCCGCUAAGGACUGUGUAACAACUCACCUAUCGAAUGUGCUAGCCCUGAAAAUGGAUGGCGCUCAAGCGUCCCACCCAUACCUCGCCCUCAGGGUAGAAACGAUGCCCUGAGGAGUAGGCGGCCGUGGGGGUCAGUGACGAAGCCUAGGGCGUGAGCCCGGGUCGAACGGCCUCUAGUGCAGAUCUUGGUGGUAGUAGCAAAUACUUCAAUGAGAACUUGAAGGACCGAAGUGGAGAAAGGUUCCAUGUGAACAGCGGUUGGACGUGGGUUAGCCGAUCCUAAGCCAUAGGGAAGUUCCGUUUCAAAGUGGGCACUUGUGCCCCGUGUGGCGAAAGGGAAGCCGGUCAAUAUUCCGGCGCCUGGAUUUGGGUUUUGCGCGGCAACGCAACUGAACGCGGAGACGACGGCGGGGGCCCUGGGCAGAGUUCUCUUUUCUUCUUAACAGUCUAUCACCCUGAAAUCGGUUUGUCCGGAGCUAGGGUUUAA